CGGUACAGACGGGGGCAGCGGCGGCGGCGGCGGCGGCGGCGGCUGCACCGGCGGCGGCACCACACAAACAAGGACGCUGAUUGGGCAGCUGCCAAGCGCCUCGGCUCCGCCUUCCCCACACGCCACGACGCCCAUUGGGCGACCUAAGCCGGCCUCCCCGCCCUCUUCUUCUCGGCCACACCAAUAGGAGACGGGAUGCUGGGACUACACCCCACCCUUGAGGAGUGAGUGGCUGGAGAAGUGAUGACUGGCCUCUUUUAGGGCCCUGGAAAAGCAUCUACCAAUGCUUGGCACAGGAUGGGGAAGGGUCGGUCCCGUGGCUUGAAGCUUCCAGAAUUUAGAGACAGUACUUCUCUCAUCAGCCACUGUUCUCCACUCCCAGGAAUUUGCAUAAAGCCUCACAUAAGUUACUUCCUCCGCUGACACUCCUGCCCGCCGGGGAAGGACCCAAGGCAUUUGUUUUGUUGGCUAAUUCCCUUUGGUAAUUAUUGUUUCCGGAAUUUAUUUCAUCAUACAGGAAAGGGAGAAUUCCGAGGCGGCCCGUCUCCCUGUUGCCCACGUGCAGGGAGCGCCUCAGUCCUCGCCCCUGUCUUCCUGGCGCUGUCCCCAGGCUGGGACCCUGGCUGGAAGAGUAGGAACCGGGGCUAGAGCAGCUGAAGAGGCCUAGGACCACUGCCAGGGCGCCCAGGGCGAUGAGAGGGCCAACACCAACUACCAGGGAGAGGGCUGUCCUAUGGGGCGGUGCUGGAGAAGCCGAGAGGGAAAGGAGGCAGGGAUGAGCUCAAGGCCCCCGGAGAAUGGAGCCUUUGUGUGGGAGCUCCCGGGGCCCCAGGGGACCGGCACCAGACCUGGUCCCGGAAAGCCGGCCACGCCAGAGGCUGCAAAGGGAUGGAGAAGCAGAAAGGAGGAUGUGCAGUCGGGGAAAAGGAAAAGGUAUCCCCCACCGCUGUCCCAGAUCCAGGAAACAAGACGCAGAAGGAAAAAGACAGAAGCAGCUUUUACUAUAUUUACAUCCAACAAAACUUUGCAAGGAACGACCCUUAUUGCACGGUCCGGGCCCUGGGCGGGAAGGACUGGACUGGACGGGGCUUUAGUUCUUCCUGAGGGGGGUCUGGGGCUCCUCUAGAUGGCCCCUGCCUCUUCCGCAGCUACAAGCCACUGAACCAUGGUGCCCCGUGUCCCUUCUCUUUCUCACCAUCCCUAAGAGCCUCCUAAGCAAGGGGCUAUGGCUCCAAAAUAAAUAACUUAAAAUACAAACA
Long non-coding RNA from Panthera uncia (snow leopard), 1259 nucleotides. RefSeq lists it as uncharacterized. The transcript is spliced from 3 exons. The record is from RefSeq and is a predicted model, not a curated record. Lineage: Eukaryota; Metazoa; Chordata; Mammalia; Carnivora; Felidae.